This 439-nucleotide ribosomal RNA is filed under the name uncultured bacterium. RNAcentral's name for it is "partial 16S ribosomal RNA". It matches the Rfam family "Bacterial small subunit ribosomal RNA", at positions 338 to 795 of the family's 1533-position model. The record is from RNAcentral.
CCUACGGGUGGCAGCAGUGGGGAAUAUUGCACAAUGGGCGAAAGCCUGAUGCAGCAACGCAGCGUGAGCGAUGAAGGCCCUCGGGUCGUAAAGCUCUGUCUUCAAGGAAGAUAAUGACGGUACUUGAGGAGGAAGCCCCGGCUAACUACGUCCCAGCAGCCGCGGUAAUACGUGGGGGGCUAGCGUUAUCCGGAAUUACUGGGCGUAAGGGGUGCGUAGGUGGUUUCUUAAGUCAGAGGUGAAAGGCUACGGCUCAACCGUAGUAAGCCUUUGAAACUGGGGAACUUGAGUGCAGGAGAGGAAAGUGGAAUUCGUAGAGUAGCGGUGAAAUGCGUAGAUAUUAGGAGGAACACCAGUUGCGAAGGCAGCUCUCUAGACUGUAACUGACACUGAGGCACGAAAGCGUGGGGAGCAAACAGGAUUAGAUACCCUGGUAGUC